AGAGUUUGAUCCUGGCUCAGAACGUACGCUGGCGGCACGCCUAAUACAUGCAAGUCGAACGAAGUAGCAAUACUUAGUGGCAGACGGGUGAGUAACAUGUAGGUAUCUACCCUUUGGCCUGGAAUAACACGAGGAAACUUGUGCUAAUACCGGAUAAGUCUUUACGGAGAAAGCUUUAUGCACCAUUGGAUGAGCCUGCACUUGAUUAGUUUGUUGGUGGGGUAAUGGCCUACCAAGACAAUGAUCAAUAGCUGAUUUGAGAGGAUGAUCAGCCACAUUGGGACUGAGACACGGCCCAAACUCCUACGGGAGGCAGCAGUAGGGAAUCUUGCACAAUGGAGGAAACUCUGAUGCAGCGAUGCCGCGUGAGUGAAGAAGGCCUUUGGGUUGUAAAGCUCUUUCGUCGGGGAAGAAAAUGACUGUACCCGAAUAAGAAGGUCCGGCUAACUUCGUGCCAGCAGCCGCGGUAAUACGAAGGGACCUAGCGUAGUUCGGAAUUACUGGGCUUAAAGAGUUCGUAGGUGGUUAAAAAAGUUGGUGGUGAAAUCCCAGAGCUUAAUUCUGGAACUGCCAUCAAAACUUUUUAGCUAGAGUAUGAUAGAGGAAAGCAGAAUUUCUAGUGUAGAGGUGAAAUUCGUAGAUAUUAGAAAGAAUACCGAUUGCGAAGGCAGCUUUCUGGAUCAUUACUGACACUGAGGAACGAAAGCAUGGGUAGCGAAGAGGAUUAGAUACCCUCG
RNAcentral lists this ribosomal RNA (737 nucleotides) under uncultured Alphaproteobacteria bacterium. RNAcentral's name for it is "bacterial SSU rRNA". It matches the Rfam family "Bacterial small subunit ribosomal RNA", at positions 8 to 790 of the family's 1533-position model. Lineage: Bacteria; Pseudomonadati; Pseudomonadota; Alphaproteobacteria. The record is from RNAcentral.